GUGGAUAUAGCUCAGUGGUAGAGCACAUGCUUAGCAUGCACAAGGUCCUGGGUUCAAUCCCCAGUACCUCUA
This 72-nucleotide transfer RNA is filed under the name Camelus bactrianus (Bactrian camel). It matches the Rfam family "tRNA". From Rfam's summary of the family: Transfer RNA (tRNA) molecules are approximately 80 nucleotides in length. The record is from Rfam by way of RNAcentral. Lineage: Eukaryota; Metazoa; Chordata; Mammalia; Artiodactyla; Camelidae. RNAcentral also lists the same sequence under 1 other name.